RNAcentral lists this unclassified non-coding RNA (2539 nucleotides) under Hevea brasiliensis (rubber tree). The record is from RNAcentral. Lineage: Eukaryota; Viridiplantae; Streptophyta; Magnoliopsida; Malpighiales; Euphorbiaceae.
ACACAACAUUGAGAAGUGAAAAAAAAAUCUACAUUUUCCCCUUGAAUUGAAACUAUACAGUUUCUAAGAAAUUCAUAAAGAACUUACAAAAAUGGUUACAACAAAAAAGUGCACUAUUUUUUUUUUUGGGCCAAGAGGGAAGGAAAAAAGAUGAUUAAUUUAGUGAGGGCAGAGAUCAAAUUAAAAGGAAAAGCUUAUGGCAUACGUUUCUCACAAAUCAAAAUCUUCCAGCUUGCAUGUUCACCUUCACCUGUGUCACGAAGAAAAGGCACCCAACCCAUGGCUUUUGCUAUCUCUUGAAGUUCAUCCAUAACAGAUACAGAAUCACGAACAUAAACAAUUCCACCAGGUCUUAGAAUCCUAUCCAUCUCAAGCAUUAUGGUGGAAAUAUUGCAUUUGUCCCUUUUCUGCUCGACAGAGAACAGACCUGCUGCGUGUAAUAGGUCAUAUGUUCUGGGGUAAGUGUCAAAUGGCUCGCACCAGUCAUGCAUCACUCCUAUAAGCCCACGGUCAUAUAUAACAGGCAAGGUAUUGAACCCACUGACAGGAACAACAUUCAUAACCCAGCAAUCGAUCUGAAGAUCAUGUAAUGCUGCUGCAAACCCUCCAAAUCCAGCCCUCAUGUCCAUCACAUUUCGGAAGUUCAUUUGUUUCCAUCGGAAAGCUCUAACAUAACUUUCUAUUAUGUCAUUCCAAUAUUUUGACUCUGCCUUGAAGAUUUCCUUUCUGGAUAUUGAGGCAUCCAUUGUUAUGAUCUGCAGUCUAUCUGGUGGAUAAUGAAGGCGCAUAGGCCAUGUAAUAACAUUGGCCCCAUAACCAUUCUCAGGCAGUAGAUUUAUGCAUGCCCUCAAGCUGAUAUACCAGACAUUGUCUGGAUCAUCAUUAGAGUCACACAGUGGAGGUUGUGCUCCAGCAUCACGAUUAAGGUAGCAGCUGUUGUUUAAUGGCUUCUGCCAUAUGGCAAUUGAUCCUUCCUUCUUUACCAGUUCCCAACAAAUACGACUAGUAAGGUCCUGCAUUUCUGCACACAACAUUACAAACAUUACAAAUAAAGCAAUCAGAAGGGAUAAGAUCCUCGUGAACCUCACCUUUUACACUCCCACCAAGAUAUAAGGAUAACACUUGUAAUACAGAAAGGUGCUAGGAUUAUAAAGAUAUUGCAAUAAAGACAAUGGGACUUCAGAACAGAAUAGCGAAGAAAUAUAACAUGAUUGGAUACCCCUCCAUUGCUCCGGCAGAUUGUCUUCAUGUUUAUAUACAGGUUGCACAGACCACACAAAGUAUCCUCCUGCCCUUAGCAUCCGGUUUGCCUCGAGGAGCAAAAUUCCAUCAUCUCGAAUCCAAUCAAUUCUACAUCUUGAGCAGUGUAUCAAAUCAAAAGCUUGGCUUGGAUACAACAAACGACGAGAAGCAAAUGCUGCUGCCAUGGCGGGAACUCCACGCUCCAGUGCAAAUUGUAUCUGGUUCUCAUGGGCAUCUUUUAGCGCUAUUGAUAGAGUGAUCACAUUGCGCUGUAGCAAAAAGGCACCAAAACUUGCUAUUCCACAACCAAUAUCUAAAGCAACACGGGUGUGUUGGCCAAAUGCAAUAGCAGGAACCAUCUGUGAAAUCUGGUUUAAGUAUUCAUCUACCCCAUGAAUAAACUGUCUUCCACCUCGUGGAAAAAUUAACUUAUCCCCUUUCCUUGCUAUCCAAUUCUGGCCAUUCUUAUCUUUAACCAGACGUAUACGAGGCACAUUACUGAACCACACCUCGUCUCUGCUCUUGGGCCACGAUAUGGAUCUCUUGUACCCUUUAGGCAUUGGCACCAAGCAAUCCAGCCACUUGCCUACUUCAGGACAAUGUCUUUGGAACCUUUCCACACUGCCACUCAGAUUCAGCCUUGUAAUCUCCUCUACAUUGUCCAAACAAGGUAUAUACUCGCUCUUCGUCUCUUCACACACCUUGUACUUCUCAUACCUGACUCUAACCCCACUGUCAUUAUUCUCUUCUUUCUUCUCUUCCUCUCUCCAAUCGCUCAAAUUCCUCAGCUCCUCCAUGGCGCUCGAAUCGAACUCCCCAAUGUCAAACUCCACUGUCAUCGCUCCAGUCUCGUCCACUAUCCCGAUCCUCGGCGCCUCCGUUACCCACGGUGGCGGCUGACGCCGCCGACUUGAAUUUGAGGAUGAUCCCGUUGUUGGGGAUGGCGAAGGUUGUGGUGAAAUAGAUGGUGAUAUGGAGGUGUUGACGCCUCCAACAGCAGAGGUGGAGGCAUAGGAAACGGCGGAUGGAAUGGAAGGCAGGUGGUAGAAGAGGGCGAAAAGAGAGAGGGAGAGAAGCGCAACGGCUGAAAUUUUGACAAAGUAAGGACCUUUAACGAUAUCCACCGCGGCGGUGACUAUCGCGGUGGGUUUCAUGGCUUGCGAUAGGACUGUAAUUUAAGAGGAGAAAACACGGCGACAGUGGCGCCGGCGAGCAAGGAUAAUAAUGGAAGAGACGAGUAAUGGUGGUGGAGGACCGUAGACGGUACGACGAGAAGUGAGUUGGGAGUUCGGAGCGG